UCCUACGGGGCGCAGCAGUGAGGAAUAUUGGUCAAUGGCCGGAAGGCUGAACCAGCCAAGCCGCGUGAAGGACGAAGGUGCCAAGCAUUGUAAACUUCUUUUGUCAAGGGACAAAAUCAGGCUCGAGAGCCUGACCGAGGGUACUUGAAGAAAAAGCAUCGGCUAACUCCGUGCCAGCAGCCGCGGUAAUACGUAGGUGGCAAGCGUUAUCCGGAUUUACUGGGUGUAAAGGGCGUGCAGGCGGGAGUGCAAGUCAGAUGUGAAAACUAUGGGCUCAACCC
Molecule: ribosomal RNA, 281 nt
Filed under: uncultured bacterium
Lineage: Bacteria
Description: partial 16S ribosomal RNA
Rfam family: Bacterial small subunit ribosomal RNA
Source: RNAcentral